UUCCAGACUCCUACGGGAGGCAGCAGUGGGGAAUAUUGGGCAAUGGGCGCAAGCCUGACCCAGCAACGCCGCGUGAAGGAAGAAGGCUUUCGGGUUGUAAACUUCUUUUAAGAGGGAAGAGUAGAAGACGGUACCUCUUGAAUAAGCCACGGCUAACUACGUGCCAGCAGCCGCGGUAAUACGUAGGUGGCAAGCGUUGUCCGGAUUUACUGGGUGUAAAGGGCGUGUAGCCGGGCCGGCAAGUCAGAUGUGAAAUCCCAAGGCUCAACCUUGGAACUGCACUUGAAACUGUUGAUCUUGAGUACUGGAGAGGCAGACGGAAUUCCUAGUGUAGCGGUGAAAUGCGUAGAUAUUAGGAGGAACACCAGUGGCGAAGGCGGUCUGCUGGACAGCAACUGACGGUGAGGCGCGAAAGCGUGGGGAGCAAACAGGAUUAGAUACCCGUGUAUU
Molecule: ribosomal RNA, 450 nt
Filed under: uncultured bacterium
Lineage: Bacteria
Description: bacterial SSU rRNA
Rfam family: Bacterial small subunit ribosomal RNA
Source: RNAcentral